This 103-nucleotide small nuclear RNA is filed under the name Carlito syrichta (Philippine tarsier). The record is from RNAcentral. Lineage: Eukaryota; Metazoa; Chordata; Mammalia; Primates; Tarsiidae.
UUCCUUCAGCAGCACAUAUUCUAAAAUUGGAAUGAUACAGAGAAGUAUAGCAUGGGCCCUGUGCAAGGAAGCAACAUAAAUUCAUGAAGUGUUCCAUAUUUUU